CUUAUAGUAGCUCCAUGUAGAUUGUAUCAAAGUCUUACUAAAGUCAAGAUAUACCACAUCUACCGCUUCUCACCUCAUCCACAAGGCUGUUACCCUGUGAAAGAAAACUCUCAGGUUGGUUUACAUGAUUUGUCCUUGGCAAAUCCAUGUGA
This is a non-coding RNA of Chelonoidis abingdonii (Abingdon island giant tortoise), 152 nucleotides long. The record is from RefSeq and is a predicted model, not a curated record. NCBI's taxonomy places the organism in Eukaryota, Metazoa, Chordata, Testudines, Testudinidae.